GUGUGAUCAAAAUUUUAAACGUCCAACACUCUAACCAGAAACUAAAUAGUAAAUACCUACGUUUAAUUAUUUUGGUCUUAMRUAGUAACGCGAAAUAUUGACAACAGUAUCAAGCAAAAUGUAUAAUGAUCUUUAUAGAUCUUGGAUAUGAGCCACGAGACGCAGACAUUUCUUAUCGGCCAAAACUUACAAAUUAUUUUAACACAGACUACUGGCAUACACACCUCUAACAUCUGUCUACCAUCGCUGUAAGACAAAACAUUAUUUAGAAACACUUCUCGAUCACAAAAGCUAUUUAAUUUGCAUCGUAUCGACGCAUUUUGAACAAAACAGAAAACAAUCUGUAAUUAUUUUCAACAACAUUACUUCGUUUUCAGAAUUUGUUUUUGUGCAAUUAUAUUGAUUUUUCUUCAUUUCCCCAAAGGAAGUAUCAGUAUCUGAUGGGUAUUGCUCUAUGGACAAUGGUUUAAAUGCCUAUUUAUUUAUUUUCCUGAUUAUAAUUUUAUAUAAUGAUUUAAUUACCAAAACAUUUGAUUCGAUUCAAAUACCUCCAUGGCACUACUUAUCUGUUAGAAUAAUGCCCAACACUUAUUGCAUCAAACUGAAAUUGUAGUGUCUUGUUGAUAUUACAAUUAUUCAUAUUUCUUAAUUUGCUUGUGUGCGUUUCAAAUUCUUUGAUCAGUUCAUAAAAGAAUCAUUUCUCGUCAUGUCAGCAACUGAAAUAGAAUGUGAAAUCCAUUUCAUGAACACUUAUAGUAUAAUGAAAUGGGACGAAUUAAUAGUGGUAAAUCAUGAUCGUUAAUCGAUUAAACAGAAGAUUGCUCUUGGGUUGGCCACCAAAGAAGAAUUKUUGAAACAAAUAAAAGUUGAAUUAAAUAUGUUGGAUACCUAUAUAUCAACUUAAAAUAUUGAUCAACAAAUGAAAGAAAAUUACACUGAAUAUAUUAAUACAGAAAUACUUACCAUUUUAUCAAAUCGUAUCAAUGAUAUUAUGUACAGCCGUAUGUUUCUAAUGUUUCCUGUUGAAAAGAUUUCAGUAUCAGAAUAUAUUGAGUUCUGUUCA
Diuraphis noxia (Russian wheat aphid) is the source of this 1063-nucleotide long non-coding RNA. The record is from RefSeq and is a predicted model, not a curated record. Lineage: Eukaryota; Metazoa; Arthropoda; Insecta; Hemiptera; Aphididae.